Long non-coding RNA from Mercurialis annua (annual mercury), 347 nucleotides. RefSeq lists it as uncharacterized. NCBI's taxonomy places the organism in Eukaryota, Viridiplantae, Streptophyta, Magnoliopsida, Malpighiales, Euphorbiaceae. The transcript has 2 exons. The record is from RefSeq and is a predicted model, not a curated record.
UUGGUGCAAAUAUUAAUUUAGGAAAGCAUGGCGAAAAUUAUACUGGGUUUCUCCUUCUCCAUCUAUUGUAUCAUUCUAGUCAUUUUGAUGAUCACAUCCAUCUUUAUCUUACCAAUUGCAGAUGCAGAUAUGAGGUCAAGAAAGCAGGAAGAGCACCGCCCAUUACCAAGCCCUCCACCUCCUCCCAAACCGGGGCAACCUCGUCAGCCUGGACCUCCUCGUCAACCUGGACCUCCUCCAUGAAGUUUAUAGAUAUCUUGUAACAGCAAACUUUAUCAUUAUCUCAACAUGAAAAUAACUUUGGUUGAUCAUGAUAUUUAAAUUAAUCUUGAAAAAUUUAUAGUUUA